AGUGAACGCUGGCGGCAGGCCUAACACAUGCAAGUCGAACGGCAGCACAGUAAGAGCUUGCUCUUACGGGUGGCGAGUGGCGGACGGGUGAGGAAUACAUCGGAAUCUACUUUUUCGUGGGGGAUAACGAAGGGAAACUUACGCUAAUACCGCAUACGACCUACGGGUGAAAGCAGGGGAUCUUCGGACCUUGCGCGAUUGAAUGAGCGGAUGUCGGAUUAGCUAGUUGGGGGGGUAAAGGCCCACCAAGGCGACGAUCCGUAGCUGGUCUGAGAGGAUGAUCAGCCACACUGGAACUGAGACACGGUCCAGACUCCUACGGGAGGCAGCAGUGGGGAAUAUUAGACAAUGGGCGCAAGCCUGAUCCAGCCAUACCGCGUGGGUGAAGAAGGCCUUCGGGUUGUAAAGCCCUUUUGUUGGGAAAGAAAAGCAGCAGGUUAAUACCCCGCUGUUCUGACGGUACCCAAAGAAUAAGCACCGGCUAACUUCGUG
Molecule: ribosomal RNA, 492 nt
Filed under: uncultured bacterium
Lineage: Bacteria
Description: partial 16S ribosomal RNA
Rfam family: Bacterial small subunit ribosomal RNA
Source: RNAcentral